GGCUCGGUGGUCUAGGGGUAUGAUUCUCGCUUUGGGUGCGAGAGGUCCCGGGUUCAAAUCCGCCGGGCCC
RNAcentral lists this transfer RNA (70 nucleotides) under Trichonephila inaurata madagascariensis. It matches the Rfam family "tRNA". Rfam says of the family: Transfer RNA (tRNA) molecules are approximately 80 nucleotides in length. Their secondary structure includes four short double-helical elements and three loops (D, anti-codon, and T loops). The record is from Rfam by way of RNAcentral. Lineage: Eukaryota; Metazoa; Arthropoda; Arachnida; Araneae; Nephilidae.